This 394-nucleotide ribosomal RNA is filed under the name Clostridioides difficile. RNAcentral's name for it is "partial 23S ribosomal RNA". It matches the Rfam family "Bacterial large subunit ribosomal RNA", at positions 2531 to 2925 of the family's 2925-position model. The record is from RNAcentral. Lineage: Bacteria; Bacillati; Bacillota; Clostridia; Peptostreptococcales; Peptostreptococcaceae.
GUCGGCUCAUCACAUCCUGGGGCUGUAGUAGGUCCCAAGGGUUGGGCUGUUCGCCCAUUAAAGUGGUACGCGAGCUGGGUUCAGAACGUCGUGAGACAGUUCGGUCCCUAUCCGUCGCAGGCGUAGGCAAUUUGAGAAGACCUGUCCUUAGUACGAGAGGACCGGGAUGGACGUACCUCUGGUGUACCAGUUGUUCUGCCAAGGGCAUGGCUGGGUAGCUAUGUACGGAAUGGAUAAGCGCUGAAAGCAUCUAAGCGCGAAGCCAACUUCAAGAUAAGAUUUCCCACCGCAAGGGUAAGACCCCAGAAAGACUAUCUGGUUGAUAGGUCGAAGGUGUAAGUGCAGCAAUGUAUUUAGCUUAUAGAUACUAAUAGGUCGAGGACUUGACCAAAUU